GUGUCAGCCGCCGCGGUAAUACGGAGGGGGUUAGCGUUGUUCGGAAUUACUGGGCGUAAAGCGCACGUAGGCGGAUCAGAAAGUUGGGGGUGAAAUCCCGGGGCUCAACCCCGGAACUGCCUCCAAAACUUCUGGUCUGGAGUUCGAGAGAGGUGAGUGGAAUUCCGAGUGUAGAGGUGAAAUUCGUAGAUAUUCGGAGGAACACCAGUGGCGAAGGCGGCUCACUGGCUCGAUACUGACGCUGAGGUGCGAAAGUGUGGGGAGCAAACAGGAUUAGAUACCCUGGUAGUCCACACCGUAAACGAUGAAUGCCAGACGUCGGGCAGCAUGCUGUUCGGUGUCACACCUAACGGAUUAAGCAUUCCGCCUGGGGAGUACGGCCGCAAGGUUAAAACUUAAAUGAAUUGACGGGG
RNAcentral lists this ribosomal RNA (413 nucleotides) under uncultured prokaryote. RNAcentral's name for it is "bacterial SSU rRNA". It matches the Rfam family "Bacterial small subunit ribosomal RNA", at positions 505 to 918 of the family's 1533-position model. The record is from RNAcentral.